This 369-nucleotide ribosomal RNA is filed under the name uncultured bacterium. RNAcentral's name for it is "bacterial SSU rRNA". It matches the Rfam family "Bacterial small subunit ribosomal RNA", at positions 585 to 954 of the family's 1533-position model. The record is from RNAcentral.
UAGUCUGAUGUGAUCCUUAGGCCCAACCUCGGAACUGCAUUGGAAACUGAUUUACUUGAGUGCGAUAGAGGCAAGUGGAACUCCAUGUGUAGCGGUGAAAUGCGUAGAUAUGUGGAAGAACACCAGUGGCGAAAGCGGCUUGCUAGAUCGUAACUGACGUUGAGGCUCGAAAGUAUGGGUAGCAAACGGGAUUAGAUACCCCGGUAGUCCAUACCGUAAACGAUGGGUGCUAGUUGUUAAAAGGUUUCCGCCUCCUAGUGACGUAGCAAACGCAUUAAGCACCCCGCCUGAGGAGUACGGCCGCAAGGCUGAAACUCAAAGGAAUUGACGGGGACCCGCACAAGCGGUGGAGCAUGUGUUUUAAUUCGA